Molecule: long non-coding RNA, 456 nt
Filed under: Linum usitatissimum (flax)
Lineage: Eukaryota; Viridiplantae; Streptophyta; Magnoliopsida; Malpighiales; Linaceae
Description: long non-coding RNA (LUSI_LNC008205)
Source: RNAcentral
GCCCAAACUUCAGUAUAACCUUGCAAUUGACUAACCUUGAUAAUGUCAACGUCGAUAUCAGUAUCUGCAACUGUAUGUUCCUGCAUUCGGCAAUACCAAUAAUGAUAGCUAGAAGCCUUUUAGGAUCGGACAACCCAAGGUUAUUGGAGUCAUCAAUGGCUACAUUGCAUAAACUGCCAGAUUUGAGAAAUAUCUACGUACCACAUUAUAAGUGAAACCCCGAAAUUGAUCGCCAUUAAUCAUCAUCCCUGCUUCACCAGCGAAAAAAAUCCUGCAGAAAUAUCCAGCCAUGGUACAUAUUCAGUUUCUUUGUAAUAUGCUUUUAUAGUAACUUGAACAUAAUGUGAAAUGAAUGAACCGUUUUUUGCAGGAGAAGCCUGGAGUUAUUGAAGGGAAAGUUGAUUGGAAGGGACGGCCAGCUCAGAAACACAAGCAUGGCGGAAUCAAGACAGCUUU